GGUUUUUUGAUUAUAAUUUAAAAUUUGACCUGCUCAAUGAAAUUUUAAAUAGCUGCGGUAUAUUGACCGUACAAAGGUAGCAUAAUCAAUAGUUUUUUAAUUGAAAGCUGGAAUGAAUGGUUUAAUGAGAUAUAUUCUUUCUAAAAUUUAAUAUUUUAAAAUUUUUUUUUUAGUAAAAAAGCUAAUGUGAUAUUAUUAGACGAGAAGACCCUAUAGAUUUUUAUAAUUUAAUUAGAAAGAUUAAUUUAUUUUAUUUAAAAAUUAUUAAUUAAAUUAUUUGGUUGGGGUGAUUUUUAAAUUUAAUUAACUUUAAAUAAUUAAAAACAAUUAUUAUUGAGUUUUUGAUCCAAAAUUUUUGAUUAUUAGAUUAAAUUACCUUAGGGAUAACAGCGUAAUUUUUUUGGAGAGACCAUAUUGAUAAAAAAGUUUGC
This 431-nucleotide ribosomal RNA is filed under the name Hadrodactylus larvatus. RNAcentral's name for it is "partial 16S ribosomal RNA". Lineage: Eukaryota; Metazoa; Arthropoda; Insecta; Hymenoptera; Ichneumonidae. The record is from RNAcentral.